CCCUGACCUCGGUUCGAGUGUGAUUACCCGCUGAACUUAAGCAA
Molecule: ribosomal RNA, 44 nt
Filed under: Paragyrodactylus variegatus
Lineage: Eukaryota; Metazoa; Platyhelminthes; Monogenea; Gyrodactylidea; Gyrodactylidae
Description: partial 28S ribosomal RNA
Source: RNAcentral